Molecule: non-coding RNA, 48 nt
Filed under: Schistosoma mattheei
Lineage: Eukaryota; Metazoa; Platyhelminthes; Trematoda; Strigeidida; Schistosomatidae
Source: RNAcentral
GUUCAGAUGAUGAGUCCGAAAUAAGACGAAACGCGCGUCAAACUGGAU